RNAcentral lists this ribosomal RNA (468 nucleotides) under uncultured bacterium. RNAcentral's name for it is "partial 16S ribosomal RNA". It matches the Rfam family "Bacterial small subunit ribosomal RNA", at positions 28 to 507 of the family's 1533-position model. The record is from RNAcentral.
GACGAACGCUGGCGGCGUGCUUAACACAUGCAAGUCGAACGGAAAGGCCCUGCUUUUGUGGGGUGCUCGAGUGGCGAACGGGUGAGUAACACGUGAGUAACCUGCCCUUGACUUUGGGAUAACUUCAGGAAACUGGGGCUAAUACCGGAUAGGAGCUCCUGCUGCAUGGUGGGGGUUGGAAAGUUUCGGCGGUUGGGGCUGGACUCGCGGCUUAUCAGCUUGUUGGUGGGGUAGUGGCUUACCAAGGCUUUGACGGGUAGCCGGCCUGAGAGGGUGACCGGCCACAAUGGGACUGAGAUACGGCCCAGACUGCUACGGGAGGCAGCAGUGGGGAAUAUUGCACAAUGGGCGGAAGCCUGAUGCAGCAACGCCGCGUGCGGGAUGACGGCCUUCGGGUUGUAAACCGCUUUCGCCUGUGACGAAGCGUGAGUGACGGUAAUGGGUAAAGAAGCACCGGCUAACUACGUG